RNAcentral lists this signal recognition particle RNA (290 nucleotides) under Saimiri boliviensis boliviensis (Bolivian squirrel monkey). Its description in RNAcentral is "Metazoan signal recognition particle RNA (ENSSBOG00000004279.1)". It matches the Rfam family "Metazoan signal recognition particle RNA". Rfam says of the family: The signal recognition particle (SRP) is a universally conserved ribonucleoprotein. It is involved in the co-translational targeting of proteins to membranes. The record is from RNAcentral. Lineage: Eukaryota; Metazoa; Chordata; Mammalia; Primates; Cebidae.
GUCGGGCGCUGUGGAACAUGCCUGUAGCUGGGGAGGCUCAGGUGGGAGGAUCGCCUGAGCCCAGGAGUUCUGGGCUGUAGUGUGUCAUGCUGAUCAUGUGUCCACACUAAGUUCGGCAUCAAUAUGGUGACCUCCUGGGAGCGGGGGACCACCAGGUUGCCUAAGGAGGGGUGAACCGGCCCAGGUUGGAAAUGGAGCAGGUCAAAACUCGGAUACUGAUCAGUAGUGGGAUUGCGUCUGUGAAUAGCCACUGCACUCCAGCCUGGGCAACACAGCCAGACCCUGCCUCU